Molecule: ribosomal RNA, 500 nt
Filed under: uncultured bacterium
Lineage: Bacteria
Description: partial 16S ribosomal RNA
Rfam family: Bacterial small subunit ribosomal RNA
Source: RNAcentral
GACGAACGCUGGCGGCGUGCUUAACACAUGCAAGUCGAACGGGUCUGCCCUGUUUUUUGCGGGGUGGGUCAGUGGCGAACGGGUGAGUAACACGUGAGUAACCUGCCCCUCACUUCUGGAUAACCGCUUGAAAGGGUGGCUAAUACGGGGUGUUCUGGCUGUGCCGCAUGGUGUGGCUGGGAAAGAUUCACUUUUGUGGUGUUUUGGUGGGGGAUGGGCUCGCGGCCUAUCAGCUUGUUGGUGGGGUGAUGGCCUGCCAAGGCUUUGACGGGUAGCCGGCCUGAGAGGGUGGGCGGUCACACUGGGACUGAGAUACGGCCCAGACUCCUGCGGGAGGCAGCAGUGGGGGGUAUUGCACAAUGGGCGGAAGCCUGAUGCAGCGACGUCGCGGGAGGGAUGGAGGCCUUCGGGUUGUGAACCUCUUUCGCCGGUGAAGAAGGUCCUGCUCUUUGGGGUGGGGUUGACGGUAGCCGGGUUAUGAAGCGCCGGCUAACUACGUG